Molecule: ribosomal RNA, 253 nt
Filed under: uncultured bacterium
Lineage: Bacteria
Description: partial 16S ribosomal RNA
Rfam family: Bacterial small subunit ribosomal RNA
Source: RNAcentral
UACAGAGGGGGCAAGCGUUGUUCGGAAUUACUGGGCGUAAAGGGCGCGUAGGCGGCCUGCUAAGUCGAACGUGAAAUCCCCGGGCUCAACCCGGGAACUGCGUCCGAUACUGGCAGGCUUGAAUCCGGGAGAGGGAUGUGGAAUUCCAGGUGUAGCGGUGAAAUGCGUAGAUAUCUGGAGGAACACCGGUGGCGAAGGCGGCAUCCUGGACCGGUAUUGACGCUGAGAAGCGAAAGCAUGGGGAGCGAACAGG